Molecule: ribosomal RNA, 195 nt
Filed under: uncultured bacterium
Lineage: Bacteria
Description: partial 16S ribosomal RNA
Rfam family: Bacterial small subunit ribosomal RNA
Source: RNAcentral
CUGCAACCCGCCUGCAUGAAGUCGGAAUUGCUAGUAAUCGCGGAUCAGCAUGCCGCGGUGAAUACGUUCCCGGGCCUUGUACACACCGCCCGUCACACCAUGGGAGCCGGUAAUACCCGAAGUCAGUAGUCCAACCUCGUGAGGACGCUGCCGAAGGUAGGAUUGGCGACUGGGGUGAAGUCGUAACAAGGUAGC